GGGCCCGCACAAGCGGUGGAGCAUGUGGUUUAAUUCGACGCAACGCGAAGAACCUUACCAAGGCUUGACAUAGGAGCGGCGCGCAUGGAGACAUGCGUUCCUUUCGGGGCGCUCCAUACAGGUGGUGCAUGGUUGUCGUCAGCUCGUGUCGUGAGAUGUUGGGUUAAGUCCCGCAACGAGCGCAACCCUUACGCUUAGUAGCCAGCAGGUAAAGCUGGGCACUCUGGGCGGACUGCCGUGGAUAACACGGAGGAAGGCGGGGAUGAGGUCAAAUCAUCAUGCCCCUUACGUCUUGGGCUACACACGUGCUACAAUGGCUGCAACAGAGCGAGGCGAAGGCGCGAGCCGGAGCAAAGCGCAAAAAAGCAGUCCCAGUUCGGAUUGCAGUCUGCAACUCGACUGCAUGAAGUUGGAAUCGCUAGUAAUCGCGGAUCAGCAUGCCG
This 443-nucleotide ribosomal RNA is filed under the name uncultured Bacillota bacterium. RNAcentral's name for it is "bacterial SSU rRNA". It matches the Rfam family "Bacterial small subunit ribosomal RNA", at positions 917 to 1359 of the family's 1533-position model. Lineage: Bacteria; Bacillati; Bacillota. The record is from RNAcentral.